ACGAACGCUGGCGGCGUGCUUAACACCUGCAAGUCGAACGGAAAGGCCCUGCUUUUGUGGGGUGCUCGAGUGGCGAACGGGUGAGUAACACGUGAGUAACCUGCCCUUGACUUUGGGAUAACUUCAGGAAACUGGGGCUAAUACCGGAUAGGAGCUCCUGCUGCAUGGUGGGGGUUGGAAAGUUUCGGCGGUUGGGGAUGGACUCGCGGCUUAUCAGCUUGUUGGUGGGGUAGUGGCUUACCAAGGCUUUGACGGGUAGCCGGCCUGAGAGGGUGACCGGCCACAUUGGGACUGAGAUACGGCCCAGACUCCUACGGGAGGCAGCAGUGGGGAAUAUUGCACAAUGGGCGGAAGCCUGAUGCAGCAACGCCGCGUGCUGGAUGACGGCCUUCGGGUUGUAAACCGCUUUCGCCUGUGACGAAGCGUGAGUGACGGUAAUGGGUAAAGAAGCACCGGCUAACUACGUG
RNAcentral lists this ribosomal RNA (467 nucleotides) under uncultured bacterium. RNAcentral describes it as "partial 16S ribosomal RNA". It matches the Rfam family "Bacterial small subunit ribosomal RNA", at positions 29 to 507 of the family's 1533-position model. The record is from RNAcentral.